UACAGAGGGGGCAAGCGUUGUUCGGAAUUACUGGGCGUAAAGGGCGCGUAGGCGGCCUGCUAAGUCGAACGUGAAAUCCCUGGGCUCAACCCAGGAACUGCGUCCGAUACUGGUUGGCUUGAAUCCGGGAGAGGGAUGUGGAAUUCCAGGUGUAGCGGUGAAAUGCGUAGAUAUCUGGAGGAACACCGGUGGCGAAGGCGGCAUCCUGGACCGGUAUUGACGCUGAGACGCGAAAGCGUGGGGAGCGAACAGG
Molecule: ribosomal RNA, 253 nt
Filed under: uncultured bacterium
Lineage: Bacteria
Description: partial 16S ribosomal RNA
Rfam family: Bacterial small subunit ribosomal RNA
Source: RNAcentral